GCCCUCUCUAUGGCGACUUGCGAGGUGCGACCACCAUCACCAACCACCAUCACCACCUUCUCUUCCCAAUCGCGACUACCCCAUCACCGCCCUCUAGAACACCACCAUGACCAUGCGAAUCGAAAUCGACCACCUUCAUCUCAUCUCCUCCCAAAUUAAGUCUGUAGAGUAUCACGUAUGCAAGCCCAGCAAGUUGACACCAAAUAUGAUCAGGAUGAGGGAAAGAUGUAUUCACCCCUCUGAGAACUGGGAGAAGGCUGCGAACGCCUUGUACUGACAGCAUAGCCUUUCUCAUUGUUUUCUAUUGAGCUAUUCUAUAUACAAAAUCCAAAUAACCUGUUCUAAAAAAAAUUAAAAAAAAAAAAAGAAGUAAUUUGGACCUGUGGACUCGGCCCAAAUCAGCCCGUUUAAAACGGGCCGGGUUAGGUUCGGUUUCAAAUCUCAAAAUUCAUACACCCGGUCGGGCCCGUCCCGUUGCAUUUUAAACGGGUCGAGUCCGGUUCCUACAAAUUUGGGUCCGGCCCGUGCCCACCCCUAGGUUUUUUAUUAGCACCUUUUUUCUUGUUGAAUAGUUGGCUUCAACGCCUACUUAUACAAUAUACAAUAUAGAAUAUACAUUUAAAUAGUUGUUUGUGGUGAAGAAGAUGAGUUUGAUGUGGAGUUUAAGUGGUGAUGGGGGUGUAUGUAUAAAGUGUGGAGCAUGAGAGUAGUGUUGGAAUGUAUCUAGACUGUAUUAAAAUAAACUAUAAUUUAAAAGUAAAUGUGGCGUGUAUUAAGUA
Molecule: long non-coding RNA, 779 nt
Organism: Pyrus x bretschneideri (Chinese white pear)
Lineage: Eukaryota; Viridiplantae; Streptophyta; Magnoliopsida; Rosales; Rosaceae
Exons: 3
Source: RefSeq, a predicted model, not a curated record